CUUUUAGUAAACAUCCGGUCCUUUAACUCGGGGCUGCGUAAUAACCACCGAGCGCUUGGAAGACAAACGAUGUCAUCUUCCUUCUGUCAGGAGGAUCCAAGUGAAGCUACAGGAGUUUCAUUAACGUCAACAACUUGGACCGAACACUUUGUUUUGCUUGAUGAAGAGCAGGAAGGGCAGCCUGGAGAGAAAGAGAAGCCGGGUUGAGCCCACUACCAUCAUCCACGUACCACGAGGAAGAUGAGGGAGAGAAAUUAUCCUACCAUUAAAGAGAGCUGCCCAUGAUGCUUUCCAUUCUGAUGCCACUUGAGGACACUGAGCCACACACGCAGAAGACACAGUGGAAGAUGUCAGGAGAGUUUUUGAUGUUUCUCUCCCCUCCGCAGGUGUGUGCCAUCUUCCCGUGAAGACUCGGCGGAGGCACAGCUUAUCCGCUGAUCAGCAACAGGAUACCUACUGUGGUCGUGUUCCCAGUCAUCGCCAGUUCGUCCUCGUCACCAGCUGUGGAUUCACCUGUCGAUCCAUCUGCCUUCCCUCCUCGCUGACUACUUCCCAGAGAUAUAUUCUCUCUCAGCUACCACAUCUGAGAUCCAGCGUUUUGGAAAAUAAACACCCUUGAACUCUCCAUUUUGAAUCGUGCUCACUGUUCCGUCUCUGAGGUUCUAAAACACAUCCCGAGCGUAACAGCUAAGGCUGUAGGAGCCUUAAGUGGAGCCUUUACCACAGUGAGAGAAAUUACCUGAGAAAAAAUGGAACAGUGGUGAACCAUAUUUCCUCUGAGAGGGAUUUGACAGCUCAUCCAGGAGGUCACAAAAGAACCAAUGCAAACAUCUGAAGAACUCCAGGCCUCCUUGCUUCAAUGGCCAUGAUUCUGCAAUAAGGAAGACACAUUUGCCAAAAAAAAAUCGUGAUGACUUAAGGCAUUUGGGGAAAUAUUCUGUGGAAUGAUCAGUCAAAAGUAGAACUUUUUGAAAGACAUGUGUCCGGUUACACCUGCUGUAAACCAUCACAGCCUUUCACGUAAAGAGCGUCAUACCAGCAUUCAAACAUGGUGGUGCUAGUGUGAUGGUCUGGGGUGCUUUGUUGCUUCAGGACCUGAACGAUUCUCCAUCUUUGAUGGAACCAGAAAAUCCUCCCAUUAGUUUUUGACCCACAGCUGAAGAGCAGUUGGGCUAUGCAGCAGGGCAAUGAUCUGAAGCACACAAACAAGUCUACAUCGGCUAAAAAUAAGUCAAAUUUAGGUUUUGGAGUCCUGCCUUGAAUCAAGGUGGGAUGCUGUGUUCUUCGAAAAAAUCCUCCAAUGUGUCUGAAUUAAACUACUUUUAUGUCCUGAAAUUACGUAAAACUUAACUUGAGUUCGGGUCAUUGGACAGUUUGACUUUGUCUGAUUUCAAUGGGCAACAUGCUGAUCGGCUGGUCAGCCCAAGAGACAAGAGUAAAGAAAGGGUUACAAUACAGAGAUUGGAAAUUUCGAGAGUCAGUCUCCCAGACUUCGUUGAAACUGUUCCAGCACAGUCAGGUCUACAGUCCAAAGCCCUGAUGUAUGUUGGUGCCAUGUUAAUGGUCGUGACGUGUUCAUGAUGACUACUCUCUCCAGUCCUGUGGGGAGUACUGCAGUUUUUUUUGUUUUUUUUCUUGCUCAGAGUUUGGAAGUUGUUUAAAUGGAGACCUUGUCUUUUAAUGUACACAUUUUUUUGUCUGGUAAAACUCUGUCACUCAGAGAAACGUCCGUACAAAUAUACAGACAUAUGAUCGUGAUCCCUGAGGACUAUGAAUAUUUAUGUUCCUUAUGUUUCACGUUAUACAGUAUGUCAAAUAUUAACUUGAACAAGACUCACAAGGAAACCAGGCUGCAAACGAAUGUUCAUACUGACAACUGAAGGAAAUUGUAUAGAAAUAAAUCACUGCAUCCUUUAUUGUAUAACUUUUGCAAUUUUCAAGCGAUGAGUCAUUUUGCCCUGAAUUAAAGCCUGUUUUAAAUUCC
This is a long non-coding RNA of Pleuronectes platessa (European plaice), 1984 nucleotides long. RefSeq lists it as uncharacterized. The transcript is spliced from 5 exons. The record is from RefSeq and is a predicted model, not a curated record. Lineage: Eukaryota; Metazoa; Chordata; Actinopteri; Pleuronectiformes; Pleuronectidae.